Molecule: long non-coding RNA, 1690 nt
Filed under: Macaca fascicularis (crab-eating macaque)
Lineage: Eukaryota; Metazoa; Chordata; Mammalia; Primates; Cercopithecidae
Description: lncRNA (ENSMFAG00000048082.1)
Source: RNAcentral
UUUUUUUUUUUUUUUGAGACAGAGUCUUGCUCUGUUGCCCAGGCUGGAGUAUAGUGGCACAAUCUUGGCUCACUGCAACCUCCACUUCCCAGGUUCAAGUGAUUCUCCUGCCUCAGGCUCCUGAGUAGCUGGGAUUACAGAUGUGUGCCACCUUGCCUGGCUAAUUUUUGUAUUUUUAGUAGAGAUGAGGUUUCACCAUGUUGGUCAGGCUGGUCUCAAACUCCUGACCUCGUGAUCUGCCUGCCUUGGCCUCCCAAAGUGCUGGGAUUACAGGUAUGAGCCACUGUGCUUGGCCUAUAAAAAUUUUUAGAAGUACAAAGGAAAGGAGUAAGAGAGAGAAAGGGAGGCAAAAUGGCUAUAAAACAUACAGAAAACAACAAAUUGCCAAUAGUAAGUCUUCCUUACCAGUAAUUUCUUUAAAUGCAAAUGGAUUAAACUCUCUAAUCAAAAGACAUAGAUUGAAUUGAUCAAAAAUUAAAAAAAAAAAAGAUCCAACUAUGUGCUGUCUACAGAAGACUCACUUUAGAUCUAAGGGCAUACAUUGGCUGAAAGUCAAAUGAUGGAAAAAGAUAUUCCAUGUAAAUGAUAAUCAAAGGAGAGCAGGGGUAGCCAAACUUACAGCAAACAAAAUAGAUGUUAACUCAAAAACUAUCCCAAGAGAUAAAGGACAGUAUAUAAUGAUAAAAGGGUCAAUUCACCAGGAAGAUUUAACAAAUACAUGACGCAAACACUGACAGAGUUGAAAGGAGAAAUAAACAGGAACACAGUAAUGGUCAGAGACCUCAAUACUCUCCUUUCAACAAUGGAUAGAAGAACCGGGCAGAAGAUCAGUAGGGAAACAAAGGACUUGAACAGCACUGUAGAUCAAUCGGAUCUAACAGACGCAUGUAGAACACUCUACUCAGCAAGAGCAGAAUAUAUAAUACGUCCUUCCCAAGGGCACGUGGAAUAUCCUCCAAGACAGACCAUAAGACAGGCCACAAAACAAGUCUCAACAAAUGUAAGAAGUUUGAAAUUAUAGACAAUAUAUGUUCUGAUCACAAAGGAAUGAAACUAGAAAUCAAUAGCAGAAGGAAAACUGGAAACUUCACAAAUUAGUGAAAAUUUAAAAACAAACUCUUAAGAAACCAAAGGAUCAAGGAAGAUAUCACAGGGAAAAAUAGAGACUAUCUUAAGACAAAUGAAAGCAAAAAUGCAACAUACCAAAACUUAUAGGAUGCAAUGAGAGCAGUAUCACGAGGGAAAUUUAUAGCGGUGAAAACUUACAUUUAAAAAGAAGAUGGAUCUCAAAUAAACAACCUAACGUUAUAUCUCAAGAAACUAGAAAAAGAAGAACAAGUUAAACACGAAUUAGCAGAAAAAAGGAAAUGGUGAUGAUUAGAACAGAGAUAAACACAAUAGAGAGUAGAAAACAAUAGAAAAAUCGACAAACUGAAGAGUUGGAUUCUUGAAAAGAAAAUUGACAGAAACUCUUAGCCAGAUUAAGAAAAAAGAGAGAAGCUUCAAUUAAAUCAGAAAUGAAAGAGGCCCCUUACAACUGAUGCCACAUAAAUAAAAAAUAUUAUAAGAGAAUACCAUGAAUGAUGGCUAUACACCAACGAAUUGGGUAAUCUGGAAGAAAUGGAUAAGUUCCUAGAAAUAUACAACCUACAAAGAUUGAAUCAUGAACAAAUAAUUAUCAGAAAAGACC